GGGAAUGUGGCUUAGUGGUAGAGUGUUUGCCUUGCAUGCAUGAAGCCCUGGGUUCGAUUCCUCAGUACCA
This 70-nucleotide transfer RNA is filed under the name Dipodomys ordii (Ord's kangaroo rat). It matches the Rfam family "tRNA". From Rfam's summary of the family: Transfer RNA (tRNA) molecules are approximately 80 nucleotides in length. Their secondary structure includes four short double-helical elements and three loops (D, anti-codon, and T loops). Further hydrogen bonds mediate the characteristic L-shaped molecular structure. tRNAs have two regions of fundamental functional importance: the anti-codon, which is responsible for specific mRNA codon recognition, and the 3' end, to which the tRNAs corresponding amino acid is attached (by aminoacyl-tRNA synthetases). tRNAs cope with the degeneracy of the genetic code in two manners: having more than one tRNA (with a specific anti-codon) for a particular amino acid; and 'wobble' base-pairing, i.e. permitting non-standard base-pairing at the 3rd anti-codon position. The record is from Rfam by way of RNAcentral. Lineage: Eukaryota; Metazoa; Chordata; Mammalia; Rodentia; Heteromyidae.